UCAUGAAUAUAUAAGCAGUAGGAAACCUGAAGACAUCCAUAACGUAUCACACAACACAGUUCAUAAUUCUGCAAUGAAUUGUUGUUGUUGUUGCUUUACAUUUCCACCCUACCCUUCUGCAAUAAGCACUCAAGGCAGUUAACAAUAAAACAACAAUUACCAUACAGUGGUAGUUAAGUUAAGUACGUAAUUCAUUCCAGAGGUCCGUUCUUAACCUGAAGCACCACUUUAGCUAAUGGGGCCUCCCACUGCCGCCAUGCUGCCGGAGCACGAUUUCUGUUCUCAUCCUGAAGGAAAGCUCUUAACCCGAGGUACUAUUUUUGGGUUAGUGGAGUCUGUAACCUGAAGCGUAUGUAACCCGAGGUACCACUGUAUAAACAAAUUACUGUACAGGCGGCGACCAUUUUAGGCACGGCCAAUAGACGCAUGAUCGCCAAAGCGUGGGUCCUUUUGGACCCAGAAGAAGGUAGAAUGGUGAGUGGCAGAAUGGUCCCCCCCAAAUGAUACAGGGCUUGGAUGCUGGGGGCUACUCUUUAGCUCGCUUCCGGGUUUAAAUCCCGCUCCAUGUCAGUCUGCCAGAUUGGCCAAUGACAGGCUGGUAUGGAGGGCAGGACUCUUUACGGACGGGCCUGGGGGAACAAUCAGGCUUCCUUCAAGUCCGUUUCCAGGAGAUUUAAACAGCCUUCGGUGGCCCCUGACAUCCAGUUCUUCUACGGCGGUGAAGGUCCUGUGUGAGUGUCUGGAGGCGGUUGGAGGAUGGAUGGCGGCUAACAGAUUGAGGCUGAAUCCUGACAAGACAGAAGUACUGUUUUGGGGGGACAGGAGACGGGCGGGUGUGGAGGACCCCCUGGUCCUGAAUGGGGUAACUGUGCCCCUGAAGGACCAGAUGCGCAGCCUGGGAGUCAUUCUGGACUCACAGCUGUCCAUGGAGGCGCGGGUCAAUUCUGUGUCCAGGGCAGCUGUUUAUCAGCUCCAUCUGGUACGCAGGCUGAGACCCUACCUGCCUGCAGACUGUCUCACCAGAGUGGUGCAUGCUCUAGUUAUCUCUUGCUUGGACUACUGCAAUGAGCUCUAUGUGGGGCUACCUUUGAAGGUGACCUGGAAACUAUCCAGAAUGCGGCAGAUAGACUGGUGACUGGCCGCCGAUACCAUAUAACACCGGUCUUGAAAGACCUACACUGGCUCCCAGUACGUUUCCAAGCACAAUUCAAAGUGUUGGUGCUGACCUUUAAAGUCCUAAACGGCCUCGGUCCAGUAUACCUGAAGAAGCGUCUUCACCUCCAUCGUUCUGCCCGGACACUGAGGUCCAGCGCUGAGGGCCUUCUGGCGGUUCCCUCGCUGCGAGAAGUCAAGUUACAGGGAACCAGGCAGAGGGUCCUCUCGGUAGUGGCACCCGCCCUGUGGAACGCCCUCCCUCCAGAUGUCAAAGAGAAAAAUAACUACCAAACUUUUAGAAGACAUUUGAAGGCAGCCCUGUUUAGGGAAGCUUUUAAUGUUUAAUAGGUUAUUGUAUUUUGGUGUUUUGUUGGAAGCUGUCCAGAGUGUCUGGGGAAGCCCAGCGAGAUGGGCGGGGUAUAAAUAAUAAAUGAUGAUGAUGAUGAUGAUUAUACAUCAGAUCAAAUGCUUCUUGAGCAUGUGCAAAUUGCGUCUUUCUAGUAACAGAGAAUUUCAAAGCUAUAUUUGCAACAGAAAAACACCGUAAGAAGAUUAAAAAUGUUAGUACCUCCAAUUUCGUUCAAAAAAUUAUACACUGAGUACAUUGCACAAUUCUUAGACUACCCAUGUUUGACGUGUGCCAUACUUUCCAGCCUUUUAAUCCUCAUUUUGCACUCCCACUUCUUUCUACGCAAAAAGGGAAAAUGUAUCUUAUGAGACCCAAGAAUGAGGCUUUCAUUUUGUAUUAUCAGCACGUUCAUCUCCAGAUAGAAUUUCUUUUCCGUAGAGUCACACUGCAAUGAAAUUUCCAUUAAAGCUUACUCCUACUACUCCUACACACUCCAGGAACUUGAUGUUAAUUCCUUUUGCUUUCCUAAAUAUUUCUAAUGUAUGCACAUUACAAAAGUCUCCUGGCAGUCAUGAUUAUUUCCACCAGAAUUGUGUCCAGCCCUUUCUCUUUUAUCCAGCAGAAUCAAAUAAUAGCACAGGGUUUUUGGGUGUUUUUUUUAAGUAAGCAGAGUUUCAGAGACAAUCCAUUGUUUAGGAUUUAAAAUUGUCUUGAAGUAUAGGAGUUGUGUUGGAAUUUUUAAUCAGUCCAUUUAUUAUUAUCCAUUUAAUAACUGUUUGUUUAUUUUCUUUACAACCUUGCUCCUUUCUCAGGUGAAAACUAUUUAACUUUCUGCUGCAACUAUGGUAUACCAUAAUGUGCGAAUGCUGGCAUUGUAUUUAGCUGAAGUGUGUCAGUCAGGGCUGAGGAUGUAGAAGUCCCCAUUUUGUCAGAAGUUUAAUUAAUAGUUGACCACACCUGUGUUUUGUUUUUCUGAAAAAACAACCACCAAGCCUGCUUGUGAUGUGACUUAAUACCCUGUUCCAAAAGCACCCAAGCCUUGCAGGUUUGUCUGCUAAGAACAAUCAAUCUCCUCGCAGCCUUGGUAGGUAAGUACAAGGGGGUAAUACUUUACCUUGCAGAGAAAUGGGGAAGAGAGAUGUUAGCAGAAUGAUAUAAAGAGAAGCUGUAAUAGAAAGGGUGUGUGUGUGUGUGUGUGUGUGUGUGUGUAGAGUUUCUAGGGAACAAUUUAAAAUAACAAGGUUUGACUUCUUUGAAGUUUCUGAAAAGACUGGGAAUCAUCAGAAUGUAGCUUAUAGCUAUUACAGAAUUUGAUAGUUCAGUUUCCUGAAACUUCAUGAUUCUUUAUACUCAAGGAGACAGUUUUUGCAUGCACUUACCAUGAUUACACUUCGUGUCACACCCAAAUAGUUUGUAGUGGUCCACCAAGCCAAGUGUUUGUAUAGGGUGACCUGCCAGUGCCUCCACAAUCAGUCUCUUUUGCCGCUUGCACGGUCUGCAAAAGCUGGAAAUUGCACCUAGAAGGCCACAGUGCCUAGCUGUAGCAUGCAUUGGGUUUGGUGGGGCACACACUGUUGAAGCCUGCUUUGCUGCUUUCUCAAGAGUAGCAGCCAGAUAUCUGAUAGCAUUCCAUUGUAGUUGUACAUUACAGCACUCAUAAUUCCUCUCUGCAUUUAAUUACGGCCCUAGCAUUUUACCUGUAAGCACUGGAAGCUGGAAUGAAACCAAUUAAUAUAAUAAAUCAAAGUUAAGGUUUCUAGCAGACCAGAAACAAACCUGGCCUUGCCUGUCCCUGCGACUUUUAGAGUAAUUUGGUGGCAAACAUCGGGUGACACUGUUUAUCUCCAUAUGGCGAAAAGCUUAACGUGUGGCUUUCUGCACAUGAAACUGUAUGGAAACUGGAUAGGUCAGCGAAAGGCACAGUUACAGAGCCUUGCUGAAAAGUUGGCAAGCCCAAGGCAAAGCAUCUCAUUCGAUGGUCAUAUGGCUGCAGAGAGGCAGAGCAGGAAGCGGGUAUGCUGAAGAGAGAGCAUGUUCGCUGCUAAAGUCAAUUAGCUGCAGCUGUGCUGCAUACAACGUUCUCCAUCAAGCGUCUGUGAUUGUCAGCUUUCCCUAUGAUCAUGCUUGGCUGAAUUAAUAUAAUGCAAUUAGUUUGGGUCAUUCAAUAGAUUAACUCCUUUGCCAGAUGUGGAAUACAGCUGUUCUGCCAGGAGGCUGUCUGGGUGCGUACCCUCUCUGCCUGCAGAUCUCUGUGUACUGGCCAAGUUGUUGGUGAUGGGAACCCUUUCUCUCCAACCCACCAUUUCCUGCCAUUAUUAUUAUUAUUAUUAUUAAAAUUUCAAUUUCAAUACCGCCUUUCAUUUGAAGAUCAUAGGGUGGUUUACAGUAUAAAACACAAAAAUACAUACCAUAAUAACCAACCAACAAAACACACAGUUUUAAAGGCCAUAGAUUGUUUAAUUAGCUAAAGGCAUGAGAGAGCAGGAAUGUUUUUGCCUGGUACCUAAGGAUUUGUAAAAAGAAAAAGAAAAAAGGUGCCAGAUGAUACUUUGCUAGGCUAUCUGACCAAUUUAUUUAACUGGGAUUUACCAGAAUUGUCACAUAUUACCUAGCGAAAGUCCAGGGUCUACAACAGAUUUAUGAGUAACAGAAAUUCUUCAGGUGAUUUCCACCCUAUCCCCUCAUUAUUGUGACUGUGCUGGAAAAUGCUUUACCUGUUGAAUUUCUGUGUGAUGCCGCUGUGGAAGGAUCAGGAGCCCUGCUAUGAAAACAAAGCAGAACAAGUAGUCCUAUUCAGUCUCCCUAAUUGAACCCUGUCCCAAAUUAAACAAACGUGAAACUCUGAUUGAAACUAUUGACCACUGAGGAUAAUUUUAUCCCAUUGAUGUUUUGUGAACCUGUCUUUCUACCAAGAAGUACAGCAGGGAAGAUGGCAAUGACUUGACAAUUAAUCCCUGCCUCAUGUUCCUUAGUCACUGCUAAAUUGCUGCUAGCACAAGUAUCUCUAAGUGAUCUUGUAUUUUUGCGUUGUCUGGAAAGUUUACACUCACUAUAGAACUGUGCGGUUAUUUCUGCUGGCAGAUGUUUGCUUGAAAUGCUAUGCUCUCACUAAAGCCAAUCUGCUUUCCAUCAAAAUGCACUUGAGUCCUGUCCUUAGCCGAUUCAUACUCUGAUUAUUCCCACAUAUAAAUGUUUUGUGUUCAUGAAGUGGUUAGAGCCCUCUGCUGGUACCUAGGUAGACUGGGAUUAUUCACAGUGGCUAGUUUCUCAUGCAUGCAUUUGCUUGCUUGUACUGUGUAUUGCAUCAUUCUUCGUCAUAACAAAGGACAUGCUUGUCUUCC
Non-coding RNA from Podarcis lilfordi (Lilford's wall lizard), 4845 nucleotides. Lineage: Eukaryota; Metazoa; Chordata; Lepidosauria; Squamata; Lacertidae. The record is from the annotation of a GenBank genome assembly.